RNAcentral lists this ribosomal RNA (459 nucleotides) under uncultured Treponema sp. Its description in RNAcentral is "partial 16S ribosomal RNA". It matches the Rfam family "Bacterial small subunit ribosomal RNA", at positions 341 to 792 of the family's 1533-position model. Lineage: Bacteria; Pseudomonadati; Spirochaetota; Spirochaetia; Treponematales; Treponemataceae. The record is from RNAcentral.
ACGGAAGGCAGCAGCUAAGAAUAUUCCGCAAUGGACGAAAGUCUGACCGAGCGACGCCGCGUGGAUGAUGAAGGUCGAAAGAUUGUAAAAUCCUUUUAGGAGUGAAGAAUAAGCGGUGCAGGGAAUGGCAUCACGGUGACGGUAGCUCCUGACUAAGCAACGGCUAAUUACGUGCCAGCAGCCGCUGUCACACGUAAGUUGCGAGCGUUGUUCGGAAUUAUUGGGCGUAAAGGGUAUGUAGGCGGUCGUGCAAGCUUGGUGUGAAAGGCAGGGGCUCAACCCCUGGACUGCAUUGAGAACUGCAAGACUUGAAUUGCCGAAGGGCAGCCGGAAUUCCAGGUGUAGGGGUGAAAUCUGUAGAUAUCUGGAAGAACACCAAUGGCGAAGGCAGGCUGCUGGCAGAUGAUUGACGCUGAGGUACGAGAGUGCGGGGAGCAAACAGGAUUAGAUACCCUGGUA